GAUGAACGCUGGCGGCGUGCCUAAUACAUGCAAGUCGAGCGAACAGACGCGGAGCUUGCUCCUCUGCCGUUAGCGGCGGACGGGUGAGUAACACGUGGAUAACCUACCUAUAAGACUGGGAUAACUUCGUGAAACCGGAGCUAAUACCGGAUAAUCUAUUGAACCGCAUGGUUCAAUAGUGAAUGACGGUUUUGCUGUCACUUAUAGAUGUAUCCGCGCCGCAUUAGCUAGUUGGUAAGGUAACGGCUUACCAAGGCAACGAUGCGUAGCCGACCUGAGAGGGUGAUCGGCCACACUGGAACUGAGACACGGUCCAGACUCCUACGGGAGGCAGCAGUAGGGAAGCUGCCGCAAUGGGCGAAAGCCUGACGGAGCAACGCCGCGUGAGUGAUGAAGGUCUUCGGAUCGUAGAACUCUGUUAUGAGGGAAGAACAAAUGUGUAAGUAACUAUGCACGUCUUGACGGUACCUAAUCAGAAAGCCACGGCUAACUACGUG
RNAcentral lists this ribosomal RNA (497 nucleotides) under uncultured bacterium. RNAcentral describes it as "partial 16S ribosomal RNA". It matches the Rfam family "Bacterial small subunit ribosomal RNA", at positions 28 to 507 of the family's 1533-position model. The record is from RNAcentral.